AGACUAACCUUUGUGAGAAGUAGGAUGUCAAUGGGUUUGGAUAUCAAAAAUUUUAUCCGAACCCGAAUCCGAAUGAAACGAAUAUAUCUAAUGGAUAUGGAUAUGGAUUCGGAUAUGGGUACCAAAAAUAGAAAUCCGCCGGAUAUGGAUUUUGAUUGUACCCGAAUCCAACCAGAACCUGAAUUUAUUUUGUAUUAUAUAUAAUAUAUAUAUAUAUAAAAAUUUGAUGUUAUAUUUGAACUUGUAUUUCAAAAUUUUAGAUUUAAUAUAAUAUAUUUUGAAAUAUUGAAAAAAUAAUAAUUUUUUCGGGUUCAAAUUUUCGGGUUCGGGUUUCGAAUUUUUGGUAGGAUUCGGGUUUGGAUAUGGAUUUUUAAAAUCCACCGGGUUCGUGUUCGGAUUCGGAUUUUUAAAAAUUCGCUCCGAAUCCGACCCGUUGACAUCUCUAGUGAGAAGCACUGCAAAGUCUAUUUAGUAUUAUUGUAAGUUGGAGUGUUAUUUGAUAAUAUGUUGUUUGUAUAAUGAUUUUAAAAUCAUUGUAUUGAAAUUCUCGUAAUAAAAGUAUCAAACUAGAGUUUUGUGUUGGCUAAAAUGGACCAGUAUCCUGUCCUAUGGCGGGAGACCAUGUUGGGCCGAAUUAUAUUCGAAAUGGCGUGAGGCUAAGGUGGGCCGAGUUACAAUUGAGACCCGUGGGCGCUAUAUCUGUACGCUUUAAGGGGACGUUUGGUUAGAUGCAAUUAUAAAUGCAGUGUAGUUAGAGAUGCAUGCAGUUGAAAAUACAGCAGUUACAACUACAUGAAUCAUGUUUGGUUGAAUGCAGUAGAAAGUGCUACAAGUAUACGUAAUUUGUUUGGUUGCAUACAGUUGAGAAAUAAUUUUAAAAUUUUAUUAUUUUAUAUAUAUGAUGGUGAGAUUACCUCCAAUGUAAAAAAGAAAAAAAAAUUAUUUAAAAAAUAUUGAGGAGAUAAAUGUGCCUUUUAUGUAAAGUUAUUCUCUCCAGCUGUUGUAGUUGGAACUGCGGCCAAUUUGGGUGUAGCUCGAACUGCUGCAGUUGGGCUUCCUCUUGCAGUUCCUACUGCAGCAGUUGGAGUUAAAUACAUCAAACUAAACACGAAAUUUGUAUUUAUAUGUAGUUACAACUGCAGUGUAGUUGCAACUACAUGCAAUCAAACAGCCCCUAAGUAAAUUAAUUACGUAUUUCUAAUAGCUCGAGCUUUUGAGAUUAAUGAUUAGCGCCAACGAUCCGACAUUUUGGACUCUUUCUUUCGAGAAUUUCGACUGUACAUUAAAGUUCAAAAGUU
This 1298-nucleotide long non-coding RNA is filed under the name Ananas comosus (pineapple). RNAcentral's name for it is "long non-coding RNA (ACOM_LNC009456)". The record is from RNAcentral. Lineage: Eukaryota; Viridiplantae; Streptophyta; Magnoliopsida; Poales; Bromeliaceae.